UACGUAGGGGGCUAGCGUUGCUCGGAAUUACUGGGCGUAAAGGGAGCGUAGGCGGACAUUUAAGUCAGAGGUGAAAUCCCGGAGCUUAACUUCGGAACUGCCUUUGAUACUGGGUGUCUUGAGUGUGAGAGAGGUAUGUGGAACUCCGAGUGUAGAGGUGAAAUUCGUAGAUAUUCGGAAGAACACCAGUGGCGAAGGCGACAUACUGGCUCAUUACUGACGCUGAGGCUCGAAAGCGUGGGGAGCAAACAGG
This 253-nucleotide ribosomal RNA is filed under the name uncultured bacterium. Its description in RNAcentral is "partial 16S ribosomal RNA". It matches the Rfam family "Bacterial small subunit ribosomal RNA", at positions 524 to 776 of the family's 1533-position model. The record is from RNAcentral.